This 329-nucleotide ribosomal RNA is filed under the name uncultured eukaryote. RNAcentral's name for it is "partial 18S ribosomal RNA". It matches the Rfam family "Eukaryotic small subunit ribosomal RNA", at positions 1470 to 1796 of the family's 1831-position model. The record is from RNAcentral.
CCCUUAGAUGUUCUGAGCCGCACGCGCGCUACACUGAUGCAUUCAACGAGUCUAAAACCUGCUCUGAUAGGGGUGGGUAAUCUUUUGAAUGUGCAUCGUGAUUGGGAUAGAUGAUUGCAAUUUUUCAUCUUCAACGAGGAAUGCCUAGUAAACGCAAGUCAUCAGCUUGCAUUGAUUACGUCCCUGCCCUUUGUACACACCGCCCGUCGCUCCUACCGAUUGAAUGAUCCGAUGAAUAUCAUGGAUUGAGGAUGCAAGCAGGUUCGCCUGUCUUCAUCUUCGAGAAGUGAAGUAAAUCUUAUCAUUUAGAGGAAGGAGAAGUCGUAACA